CAUCUCCAUGCAAAUUCCACAUUCCUCUUCUCUUUCAAAAUCAAUUUGAGAGAGUUUGCCCCUCUCCAAUUCAUCCUUUCUCCUAUACCUGGUAUUGCAAACCUCUUUUUGUUUCUUGUCUUCCAAAUCAGUGAUUCCUCUUUGAAGUUGCAACAGAGAAGGAAAAAUCACAGCAUAAAAUUCUCUAAUGCUAGCUUUCCUUUCAUAAACAGACAUAGUUGUCUUGCCAUCAGCAUAUGUCACAUACACAAGAAUUCUAAGCAAACCGAGGGCACCAGCAAGAUGACAAUCAGCCCAUUGAACAAGAAAAAGAAGAAAUUGAGCUGCUGGACUGUGGGAUAAUCUCAUCUGAAGACGAGCACCAUCAAUCUCCCUUGGAUAAUCUAGAGCACUGUGUUAACAAGAAGGUGAAAAAGGGAGGCAAAAAAAGUCAACAUAUAUCCAUCAACUGUUAUAUCAUCAUGGUAAUAUGGAAUGUAAAACCUCAUGCAUUGAGGAUCCAGCAUCACAAUUCUAUUGCAUUUAUUCAUCCUGCAAUGCAGGAAACCUCAUGUAUUGGGAUAUGUACCUUUAUCAAACUAUUAAGGAUCUAUUAUCAAAAUUCCACUGCAUUUACCUUUGACAUGCAUAACAAGAGAUCUUGCUUGCAACAAUGACCCAUAAGAUCUCAUAGCAAAUUUUCUAUAUCAACAUCAGAAUGUUAAUUGAAUGUCAUACAUUACCAUAGUUAUUAAAGGCGCGCUUCAAGCUCCAGGCUCCAGUCCUAGUGUCUCUACAGGAGAAAGGCAGGCAAC
RNAcentral lists this unclassified non-coding RNA (794 nucleotides) under Hevea brasiliensis (rubber tree). The record is from RNAcentral. Lineage: Eukaryota; Viridiplantae; Streptophyta; Magnoliopsida; Malpighiales; Euphorbiaceae.